RNAcentral lists this ribosomal RNA (252 nucleotides) under uncultured bacterium. RNAcentral's name for it is "partial 16S ribosomal RNA". It matches the Rfam family "Bacterial small subunit ribosomal RNA", at positions 525 to 776 of the family's 1533-position model. The record is from RNAcentral.
ACAUAGGCUUCAAGCGUUGUCCGGAUUUAUUGGGCGUAAAGAGUUCGUAGGCGGUCGAGUAAGUCGGGUGUGAAAAUUCUGGGCUCAACCCAGAGACGCCACCCGAUACUGCUUAACUUGAGUUCGAUAGGGGAGUGGGGAAUUCCUAGUGUAGCGGUGAAAUGCGCAGAUAUUAGGAGGAACACCGGUGGCGAAGGCGCCACUCUGGAUCGACACUGACGCUGAGGAACGAAAGCAUGGGUAGCAAACAGG